GCUGAGGCCUGGAGGAGCGUGCAAUGUGCGUGCAUGUGUGCGCUCUUUGCCCGCGUUGUGUCAUGUCAUCAUCUCCCUCUCAUGUGAGUGAGUGAGAGAUAAUACUAGCUAGGGUUUGUGUGAGUGCGUGAGAGGGAUUAGCUAGCUAGGGCACUCUGGGUAUGAGGAGGAGGAGCUGCCGCGGCUCCCAGCUAUUUAUAGGGGGCUGCGUACAGCGUACAAUCAAGCUAGCAACACCUACCACUACCAUGCUCCCUCCAGUCUUCUUCCUCCUCCCUCCAUCCACACGCUCACCAACACCUACCAUUACCAAGCUAGCUCUCUCUCCUCUCCAUGAGUAGCGCCAUCCAUCCACACGCACAAUGUAGAGUGUCCUGAGGUCGGCAUUGAGAGGGGGGCCUCGUUUGUGAGCGCGGACAUCGACGGAUGACUGACGCCGUGCAAUGCAGCUUCUGGAUGGGGAGUUUGUACGCUGCUGCAGGCCGGCAGAUAUGUAUGCACAAGUAUCAUUCAAACACUUGCAUGGCUCCAUCUCAUUAAUCAUCCAGAUUCCAGAGGGGGAGCUACACAUACUUUUCAUGGUGCUGGUCGAUACCUGACCCGGCUGGCGUACACCGUACAGGCUCCAAUGUCAAUGCAUCUGCGCAUCUAUAUAUCAGCAGAAAAGCUAGGUGUAUAUAUAGCUCGCUCGUCAGACCAUAUGCAUGCAUUGGUCUUACUUAGUCGUUUGAUCCUGAUUCAGAUGGUCAAAAUCAUGUACACUUUGAGAUUUCACCUUUCCUGUAAGAACAUGUAAUAUCCUUGGUGUGUUCCAUUCUCGAAUAUUCAAUGAAUUAAGCCGAAA
Long non-coding RNA from Triticum aestivum (bread wheat), 844 nucleotides. RefSeq lists it as uncharacterized. NCBI's taxonomy places the organism in Eukaryota, Viridiplantae, Streptophyta, Magnoliopsida, Poales, Poaceae. The transcript is spliced from 2 exons. The record is from RefSeq and is a predicted model, not a curated record.